RNAcentral lists this ribosomal RNA (403 nucleotides) under bacterium. Its description in RNAcentral is "partial 16S ribosomal RNA". It matches the Rfam family "Bacterial small subunit ribosomal RNA", at positions 355 to 776 of the family's 1533-position model. The record is from RNAcentral.
UGGGGAAUAUUGCACAAUGGAGGGAACUCUGAUGCAGCGACGCCGCGUGAACGAAGAAGGCUUUCGAGUCGUAACGUUCUUUUAUAUGGGAAGAUAAUGACGGUACCAUAAGAAGAAGCCCCGGCUAACUACGUGCCAGCAGCCGCGGUAAUACGUAGGGGGCUAGCGUUGUCCGGAAUCACUGGGCGUAAAGGGUUCGCAGGCGGAAAUGCAAGUCAGGUGUAAAAGGCAGUAGCUUAACUACUGUAAGCAUUUGAAACUGCAUAUCUUGAGAAGAGGAGAGGUAAGUGGAAUUUUUAGUGUAGCGGUGAAAUGCGUAGAUAUUAAAAAGAAUACCGGGGGCGAAGGCGACUUACUGGGCUCAUUCUGACGCUGAGGAACGAAAGCGUGGGUAGCAAACAGG